GGACGUGCAAGCAAUCUGGCUAGGAUGCGUGCCACCUCUUUAAUUCACAGGAUGGAAUCAACUGCUAGGUGGUUGUCAUCUUGCUCCCUCACCACCCCACGUAUAGCCCUCCCCAAGCUGUGAAGUCAGUCUAGGAGGUUGACUGACUUCAAGUAGGGGAGGACCAUUCUUCUUUCAAGGGUGUAUUAUGAUUAUUUGUCCUUCCCCUGAUAGAACAUCCAAACAAGCUGUCUGGGAAAAGCCAUCUUUCCGCAUAGCCCUGUAUCCUCAUGAUGCUUAUGCCUGGGAGCAAGG
This 294-nucleotide small nuclear RNA is filed under the name Rattus norvegicus (Norway rat). RNAcentral's name for it is "7SK RNA". It matches the Rfam family "7SK RNA". Rfam says of the family: 7SK was discovered as an abundant small nuclear RNA in the mid-70s but a possible function has only recently been suggested. Two independent studies have found that 7SK RNA binds the CDK9/cyclin T complex (known as elongation factor P-TEFb). P-TEFb activates transcription by phosphorylating the C-terminal domain of RNA polymerase II. Lineage: Eukaryota; Metazoa; Chordata; Mammalia; Rodentia; Muridae. The record is from Rfam by way of RNAcentral.